AUUUACCGGAGAGUCCAGCUCCGUUGAGACCAAGAUACUCUAAGCUUUGAAUAUCUCCAUAACUCUCUGGAAUCUCUCCGCUGAAGAAAUUUCCACCGAAAGAGAGGUAUUUAAGCUUCUUAAGCUCUGACAUCUCCGGUGGUAACUUACCGUUGAAAUUGUUGUUAUAAGUGUCAAGAACUUCAAGAUCAACCAUAGCUUUUAAAAUCUCUCCAGGGAAUGUUCCAGUAAGGUUACCAUUGUUGGAGAUAUUCAAAACCUUGAGAGAAGUUAGACUCUUCAUCUCCAAUGGUAAUUCACCGGUGAAGUUGUUGGCAGCUAAAGUUAGA
RNAcentral lists this long non-coding RNA (329 nucleotides) under Arabidopsis thaliana (thale cress). RNAcentral describes it as "long non-coding RNA (ATHA_LNC000645)". The record is from RNAcentral. Lineage: Eukaryota; Viridiplantae; Streptophyta; Magnoliopsida; Brassicales; Brassicaceae.